Molecule: ribosomal RNA, 1161 nt
Filed under: uncultured soil eukaryote
Lineage: Eukaryota
Description: SSU rRNA
Rfam family: Eukaryotic small subunit ribosomal RNA
Source: RNAcentral
CCUGCCAGUAGUCAUAUGCUUGUUUUAAAGAUUAAGCCAUGCAUGUCUAAGUAUAAGUUAUACAACAGCGAAACCGCGCAAGGCUCAUUAAAUCAGUAACUGUUUAUUUGAUGGUGUUUUCACAUGGAUAACCGUAGUAAUUCUAGAGCUAAUACAUGCUAAAGUACCCAACUUUUGAGGAAGGGUAGAACAUAUUAGAUUUAAAUACCAAUAUACCCGGGUAACCGGGUAUUAAGAUGACUCUCAAUAUUUUAUCUGACCGCAUAGGCUCGCCCUGGCGGCGCUUCAUUCAAAUUUCUGCCCUAUCAACUUGAUGGUAGGCCUAUUAGGCUACCAUGGUCAUAACGGGUAACGGGGAAUUAGGGUUCGGUUCCGGAGAGGGCGCCUGAGAAAUGGCGACCACUUCCAAGGAAGGCAGCAGGCGCGCAAAUUGCCCAAUCCCAGUACGGGGAGGCAGUGACGACAAAUAACAAUACAGGGGUCUAACGACUCUUGUAAUUGGAAUGAGCACAAUUUAAAUCCCUUAGCAAGGAUCAAUUGGAGGACAAGUCUGGUGCCAGCACCCGCGGUAAUUCCAGCUCCAAUAGCGUAUAUUAAAGUUGUUGCAGUUAAAAAGCUCGUAGUUGGAUUUAAGGAUUCGGGAUAAUUGGUCUGCCGGGACGGUGGUACCAGUAUCCCAGUUCUCUCUCCUGGUUUUCAGCCUUCUGCUCUUAACUGAGUGGGGGGUCUGAUCCAGGUCGUUUACUUUGAAAAAAUUAGAGUGUUUAAAGCAGGCGUAAGCCUUGAAUACCUUAGCAUAGGAUAAUAGAAUACGGCUUUGUAUUUAUUUUGUUGGUUUUAGGAUGCAAGCAAUGAUUAAUAGAGAUAGUCGGGGAUGUCCAUAUUUCGUUGUUAGAGGUGAAAUUCUUGGAUCCACGAAAGAUGAACUAGUGCGAAAGCAUUCAUCAAGGAUGUUUUCAUUGAUCAAGAACGAAAGUUAAGGGAUCGAAGACGAUCAGAUACCGUCGUAGUCUUAACUAUAAACUAUGCCGACCAAGGAUCGCGAGACGUUACAUGGAUGACCCCCGCGGAACUUUAUGAGAAAUCACAAGUCUUUGGGUUCCGGGGGGAGUAUGGUCGCAAGGCUGAAACUUAAAGGAAUUGACGGAAGGGCACACCAGG